CCUACGGGUGGCAGCCGUGAGGAAUAUUGGUCAAUGGACGAGAGUCUGAACCAGCCAAGUAGCGUGAAGGAUGACUGCCCUAUGGGUUGUAAACUUCUUUUAUAUGGGAAUAAAAUGUUCCACGUGUGGGCUUUUGUAUGUACCAUAUGAAUAAGGAUCGGCUAACUCCGGUCCAGCAGCCGCGGUAAUACGGAGGAUCCGAGCGUUAUCCGGAUUUAGUGGGUUUAAAGGGAGCGUAGGUGGAUUGUUAAGUCAGUUGUGAAAGUUUGCGGCUCAACCGUAAAAUUGCAGUUGAAACUGGCAGUCUUGAGUACAGUAGAGGUGGGCGGAAUUCGUGGUGUAGCGGUGAAAUGCUUAGAUAUCACGAAGAACUCCGAUUGCGAAGGCAGCUCACUGGACUGCAACUGACACUGAGGCUCGAAAGUGUGGGUAUCAAACAGGAUUAGAUACCCGGGUAGUC
Molecule: ribosomal RNA, 460 nt
Filed under: uncultured bacterium
Lineage: Bacteria
Description: partial 16S ribosomal RNA
Rfam family: Bacterial small subunit ribosomal RNA
Source: RNAcentral